This 257-nucleotide ribosomal RNA is filed under the name uncultured bacterium. RNAcentral's name for it is "partial 16S ribosomal RNA". It matches the Rfam family "Bacterial small subunit ribosomal RNA", at positions 524 to 776 of the family's 1533-position model. The record is from RNAcentral.
UACGUAGGGGGCAAGCGUUGUCCGGAAUCAUUGGGCGUAAAGCGCGUGUAGGCGGCCCGGUAAGUCCGCUGUGAAAGUCGGGGGCUCAACCCUCGAAUGCCGGUGGAUACUGUCGGGCUAGAGUGCGGGAGAGGCGAGUGGAAUUCCUGGUGUAGCGGUGAAAUGCGCAGAUAUCAGGAGGAACACCGGUGGCGAAAGGCGGCUCACUGGUCCGGUACUGACGCUGGAGGUGACGGAAAGCGUGGGGAGCAAACAGG